This is an RNA transcript of Cydia pomonella (codling moth), 1680 nucleotides long. It is a transcript of the gene named tRNA (cytosine(72)-C(5))-methyltransferase NSUN6, with no coding region annotated. Lineage: Eukaryota; Metazoa; Arthropoda; Insecta; Lepidoptera; Tortricidae. The record is from RefSeq and is a predicted model, not a curated record. The transcript has 8 exons.
CAGAAACCGGGCUACAACCGGAAAAUCGAAGUUAGUCAAUUGCAGGCAUUUUUCUCUGUCACUCUAAUUACGUCUUACUACUCUUUGAUGGUUCGACUCUACUACUCUUUGAUGGUUUCUGUGCUGGCAAUCCUAAGCGGGAACGGAAACGAGACUGUUUUUGUUUUGUCAUUAAUGACAUGACAUUGACAGCAACGGAAGUUGAACCGGAGUGCGAUAACGAUAGCAAACUACACAUACAUAAAAUACUUUGAAUUAAAGUAAAUUAAUUAAUUAACAGGUUAAGAAUUACAACCUUGAAAACCACACGUGUUUGUUCUUAAUAAUUGCCAAUAUGGAGCUUCAGACUUGGCUGUCUCAGCCUCCAAAGUAUACAACUUUCAGAAUAAACAAAACACGAGAAUAUGAUAUCAAAACUUUUGAAACCUACUUGGAAAACCAACGUGAAAGCUUAAAAUUACCAGCAAUACCGAAAUUUUAUUACCUCUAUCCGGACUGUUUGGUUGUGGAACAGUGGGUAACCGACGUUCAACCAAGUGGUAAUAGUGAGGUGAUAGUAGAUGCGCUGUGCGCCGCGGCUGUACUGAGAGGCGCUCAUGUGUUUGCUCCUGGUGUAAUGGGGCUCCCAUCAGGUUGCAGUGUCAAUGAUAAAGUUGACAUCUACGGUGACGUGGAGGGAAAAUGCAAGAAAGGGCUGAAAGUGGAGUAUACCGGCCAGAAAGUUUUUGUUGGCACUGGCUACUUGAAGAUGCCUCGACAUGAGCUAUUCAAAGAAGGAAUACCACCUAGCGGAAUUGCUAUAGAAGUUGCUCUGCCCGCUUCAAGACUACCAGUUAUCAAUGAGUCUAUAUACCCCAAAGGAACGUUGGUGCUUCAAAACCUUCCGUCAAUGGUCUGUGGCUGGGUGGUGAAUGCACAGCCCAAGGAGCUCAUCCUAGACAUGUGUGCAUCCCCUGGUAAUAAGACUACACACUUAGCAGAAAUGUCUAAUAAUGAAGCAACUAUUAUCGCAAUAGAUAAAACUCCUCAAAAAGUGGCUAGAAUAAAGGAGAAUUGUGAGAAACAUGGAGUUACUUGUGUCAUCGCUUAUGCCUUUGACUCAACAAAAUGCUAUUCAGAAAAUGGUACUACUGAUGUCACCAAAAGUCCUCCUUUUAGUUCAAAUGUUUUUGAUAAGAUUCUCCUUGAUGGACCAUGCAGCGGACUUGGACAAAGACCUCAGCUAGUUAACAAAAUGACUGACAAGAUGCUGCAGUCAUACAAAUUCGUACAACGAAAGUUAAUGGAAUCAGCAGUGAAAGUACUGAAACUAGGAGGGGUUUUGGUAUACAGCACAUGCACAGUAACUGAAGAAGAGAAUGAAGCCAUGGUCAUGUGGGCAUUGAGCAAGUUCCCCUGUCUUCAGCUCGUCCCUGCGGAGCCCCUCCUUGGAGGCCCGGGGAUGCCUUGCGAAGGUCUCACAGAUGCUCAAAGUUUGCUGACCGCUCGGUGACGGGGGGAUCCCUAGCGACAGCGACGUCGGGGCACGAAGGCCGAAUAAAACGAGCAAUGCUACAAAGAUUUGGACCCGAAGAUGAUUGUCUUAGGCCAACUAAACAUCCCAUAUAUAAAGACACAAUAGGAUUCUUCAUUGCAAAAUUCAUCAAAACGGAAUAAAUUACAAUUCAUAAUACAUAAAUC